Molecule: long non-coding RNA, 151 nt
Organism: Varanus komodoensis (Komodo dragon)
Lineage: Eukaryota; Metazoa; Chordata; Lepidosauria; Squamata; Varanidae
Exons: 3
Source: RefSeq, a predicted model, not a curated record
CAUGGGGGGAGCUCCCGUUAUUCGCCCCAGCUCCUGCCAACCUAGCAGUUCAAAAGCAUGCUAAUGCAAGUAGGUAAACAGGUACCAUUUGGUGGGAAGGUAAUAAGUUUCCAUGCACGAAAACAUCUAGUCAUGCCAGUCACAUGACCAU